This 347-nucleotide ribosomal RNA is filed under the name uncultured eukaryote. RNAcentral describes it as "bacterial SSU rRNA". It matches the Rfam family "Eukaryotic small subunit ribosomal RNA", at positions 564 to 801 of the family's 1831-position model. The record is from RNAcentral.
GUGCCAGCAGCCGCGGUAAUACCAGCUCCAUUAGCGUAUAUUAAUGUUGUUGCAGUUAAAAAGCUCGUAGUUGGAUUUCUGACAUAACGGACCUGGCCCGGCGUCCGUAAACGUGACGUUGUGUGCCGGUGAUUCAAUCUGGUUCCGUGGGUUAUUUCGCGUGCCUUGGCGCCUCUUGGUCCCCUUCGGGGUGUAUCGGAGCGUGGCCGGGGUUUCGCGGCCUGCGGAAUUGUCCGUUGGUCAUCCUUCAAGAAAACCGUUCUGCCUUUCGUUAGGUCGGUNCGGGGCUCUUGAUCGUUUACUUUGAAAAAACUUGAGUGUUUAAGGCUAGGCUUAUGCCGUGAAUA